This 460-nucleotide ribosomal RNA is filed under the name uncultured bacterium. RNAcentral's name for it is "partial 16S ribosomal RNA". It matches the Rfam family "Bacterial small subunit ribosomal RNA", at positions 338 to 795 of the family's 1533-position model. The record is from RNAcentral.
CCUACGGGAGGCAGCAGUGAGGAAUAUUGGUCAAUGGACGAGAGUCUGAACCAGCCAAGUAGCGUGAAGGAUGACUGCCCUAUGGGUUGUAAACUUCUUUUAUAUGGGAAUAAAAUGUUCCACGUGUGGGAUUUUGUAUGUACCAUCUGAAUAAGGAUCGGCUAACUCCGUGCCAGCAGCCGCGGUAAUACGGAGGAUCCGAGCGUUAUCCGGAUUUAUUGGGUUUAAAGGGAGCGUAGGUGGAUUGUUAAGUCAGUUGUGAAAGUUUGCGGCUCAACCGUAAAAUUGCAGUUGAAACUGGCAGUCUUGAGGACAGUAGAGGUGGGCGGAAUUCGUGGUGUAGCGGUGAAAUGCUUAGAUAUCACGAAGAACUCCGAUUGCGAAGGCAGUUCACUGGACUGCAACUGACACUGAGGCUCGAAAGUGUGGGUAUCAAACAGGAUUAGAUACCCGUGUAGUC